AUUCGCCUCACCGAGACACGGAACAGUCGGUCUGAUAUUCAUGAAUUUUGGGACGUGGAUUAAAAAGGACAUUCUCUGAUAAUCCGAGCGGACGCCAGGCCUAAUGACUGAAAUGUUUGUGGAUCCGACUGUAAUCUGUCAGUGUUCGUCGAGGCCUGGUUUGGCGUCUUGUACUUGACCAAUGAGUAGGCCGCAGUGAUGACAAGGAGGCCGCUGGAGGGCCAAGUUUGAAAUGGCUGCGUUGGUUAUUCGAGCAGCACACAAGGAGUGACCCGACCGUGGCCUCUCAGCGGCGGUUUGUUUGGUUGUUGGCGUCCCUGAAACACCUGAGGAGCUAUAAUGGCGUCUGGAACUAGCAGCUGAUCGAUUAUGGACAACAAGGCCUACUUUACCUACGAAUAGGCUGCUGUGAUGGCAAGUAGGCCGCGGGAGCGCCAUGUUGGAAAACGCUGCGUUGGUUAUUUGAGCAGCACACAAGGAGAGACCCAACCAUGGCCUCUCAGCGGCGGUUUGUGUGGUUGUUGGCGUCCCUAAAACAUCUGAGGAGAUAUAAUGCCAUCUGGAGCUAGCAGCUGAUCGAUUAUGGCUGUACUACAAUCAAGCUGAGGAUUCCCUUCAAUCAAGUUGAGGAUCGCUUCCGUCAAGCUGAGGAAUCGCUACAAGGUGCCUGGCGGACCCCGCCCAACCCAUCAAAGGUUGGUUAAGUCAAAGAACUGUUCCAAUGGCGGGUCCAGAAGACGUCUCAGGGUAGGAGCUGUUGCGGGUUUUGCUGUGCUAUGUCGCUGAUGCUAUUGUUUGACGGCCAACGCUAGGCCUCUUGAUGUGCUGGUUUGGUUUGAUUCUCUGCUGAGAGUCAAUGAGCUGAGAAGGAUUUUGCUGUUUUAAAUCCUUCUUUCUUUGGGUUUUAGUGUUUGAAUCAGUUGCUGUGGUCUUGUGACCUGUGGGAAAUACAUUUUUUGAGGCUGUAGGAAGGGAUUCAGCUUAGGCUUUGUUUUAUUUAGUUAAAAGCGAGUACAACGAAUGGGUCGCUCUUUUCCAUGCAGAAUGUUCCACUCAUGAAAACACGGUUGGGUAUGUGAAAUGUAGAACUUCUGAUCUUUGUAACAAAAGGUGGUGUUUUAGGUGUUUGUUUUCACAUACAGUUUGGUCGGGUGUGUGAAAACAAACCCUACAAAUGGGUAAAAGGUUAGUU
Gambusia affinis (western mosquitofish) is the source of this 1192-nucleotide long non-coding RNA. RefSeq lists it as uncharacterized. Lineage: Eukaryota; Metazoa; Chordata; Actinopteri; Cyprinodontiformes; Poeciliidae. The record is from RefSeq and is a predicted model, not a curated record. The transcript has 3 exons.